UUUUUAUGAGGGGGGGGCUAUACAUGCAGUCGAGCGGACAGAUGGGAGCUUGCUCCCUGAUGUUAGCGGCGGACGGGUGAGUAACACGUGGGUAACCUGCCUGUAAGACUGGGAUAACUCCGGGAAACCGGGGCUAAUACCGGAGGUUGUUUGAACCGCACGUAUCAUACAUAUAUGCUGGCUUCCGCUAUGCCUUAUGGAUCGAGAAAUGAGUUAAUUCUUGAGGAUGACUCAUCUCCUCGCACCAAGUUUGUUUUUCCGUCUGGAAGGUGAUCUAUCCCCUGUGAUUGUUCUCCACUCUUAUUACAAAGCACCCUAUUCCCGUCCAUUCCGUUGAUUCUUCACCUACUUGCCGCUUAUUUUGUACAGUCUUCCACGCCACGCUUUCCACAUUUUUCUCCC
RNAcentral lists this ribosomal RNA (402 nucleotides) under Bacillus subtilis. RNAcentral describes it as "partial 16S ribosomal RNA". The record is from RNAcentral. Lineage: Bacteria; Bacillati; Bacillota; Bacilli; Caryophanales; Bacillaceae.